CGCCUGUUUAUCAAAAACAUAGCCUUAAGAAAUAAUUUAAGGUAAGCCCUGCCCAGUGGAGAUAUUCUUAACGGCCGCAGUACCUUGACUGUGCUAAGGUAGCGUAAUCAGUUGGCUUUUAAAUGGAGUCGAGAAUGAACGGGGCCAUGGGGAGAGACUGUCUCUUUUUUGAUUAAUUUAACUUGCUUAAUAGGUGAAAAUACCUUUUUAAAGGAAAAAAGACGAGAAGACCCUUAGAGCCUAACAAUAUAAUAUAAUUUAUUUGUUUUUGUUGGGGCGACAAGAAGACAGAUAAUUUAACUCUUCUUUUAUACUAAACGAUUAUAAUAUAAAAGAACAGGCUACCUUAGGGAUAACAGCAUAAUUAUUUUUAGUUUGUGACCUCGAUGUUGGACUAGGAACUUGAUGACUAGUCGUCAAUAAAGGAAAGU
This 431-nucleotide ribosomal RNA is filed under the name Carychium cf. clappi AMW-2013. RNAcentral's name for it is "partial 16S ribosomal RNA". It matches the Rfam family "Archaeal large subunit ribosomal RNA", at positions 1889 to 2645 of the family's 2987-position model. Lineage: Eukaryota; Metazoa; Mollusca; Gastropoda; Ellobiida; Ellobiidae. The record is from RNAcentral.